Long non-coding RNA from Peromyscus californicus insignis, 11481 nucleotides. RefSeq lists it as uncharacterized. NCBI's taxonomy places the organism in Eukaryota, Metazoa, Chordata, Mammalia, Rodentia, Cricetidae. The transcript is spliced from 12 exons. The record is from RefSeq and is a predicted model, not a curated record.
UGAUUUGGUGGGGGUAGGAGGGCAGGGGAGGGCAGGCAAGGGCAGACAGGAUGGCUGUGAGCGGGCAGAACAGCCCCUGGCUGGACAGACCCCAUUCAGCUGGACCCUUGAGCUGGUGUCCCACUGUGCGCUCCCACCCCACACGGCAAUUCCACUGCAGGCUUGGGGAUAGUAGCCCCAUCAAGCCCAUACCUGAGGCAGACCACGCUGUGUGAUCCUCCAAGAAGGCAAAUAAUUUCUUCUGUCAAUGGCUAUGAUUCCCCGGAAGAUAUUGAUGCAUUUGGGAGUAUAAUUUGGCAGAGGAAGGAGAUAACCUGAAACCACAGACUGCCCUAAACACUCUAUUACGAACAAAGAGAAAACAGCUGAAUUGAGUUGGAGGAAAGCCUUGUUGAAUGAUAAAUUGCCAGACCCUUCGAGGCUCAGGAGGUUUCAGUCCAUUCACCCCAGCUGCAUUUUUAUGAAUACUUGAGGAAAGAACUUUGAAACUGAAAGACUCUGACUCAUGGUUUGACUGUCUGCAUUGGUUCCCAAAGGUGGCCUGAGUCUUAAGAAUCACAGCUGGGAAAUUUGCUGUGUGCAGAUCCCUAGACCCGGGCCCUUCAUGAUGGUCUGCUCUGAUCCUCAUGCAAAAUUGAAUCAUCCAAAAACACUGCCAAUACUUGUGUUCCAACUUAAGCUAUGCAUUUAAUUUAAGAGUCAUGAUUCUAGAAAUUUCUCUUCUGACCAAGGAAGGCAAUUGUGAAUGCAAGAGAAGGCUUUGAGUCAACCUUGCAAGGCUAUGUGUCCUUUUGAGUUGUUCAUUCUUUGAGUUUGGGUUCUAGGGGCAUUUGUCUUAUUUUCUUCUUUCCACCAUCUUGGAAGUCUCUUGAGAGACGUUUCUACCCACCCCUCCAGGUCCUUGGUCAUUAGUGAGCAUGUACACUAUGUUUGAAAGACAGAAUCAAUGGCCAAAGAGAAAUUUAGCAGAUGAAAAACAGAUAAAUCUACCAUAGCAAUUGAUUUGAGUGUUACAGAAGCCCUUAACUUUAAAAGAAACUUUUCGGCAGAUGGGGAGAAGGUGCAGUGAUGUCAAACGUAGCAGAAUUCAUCCUCUACAGAGAAUUAAGCCCUUCACAUGCACAAGGCUGCCUGCCACUCCUGGGCAUAGCUGGUGCUUGUUCUUAUCUCUUCUGUUGUCUGCUGUUUGGGUUCAAACUUGGCCUGAGCCCUAGUGGCUGGAAGCCAUCACUUCACAUUUGCAGAUAAAUGAUAUCAAUGUGUUUAAGACAUUCCAGAAAAACAAUAAUAAUAAUAAAAUAUUUGUGGUUUUGAUGGAGGGAAACAGAUGAAACAUGAAUGCUACAGUGCUGAGGAUUCUUCAAGGUGAAUGGCUUGUGUGGAGAUAUCUUACCUUAUUUUUGUGUAUAUAGAAAGUGGCAAAGAAUGAAACACUGUAGAGGGGAAAAAAGACACUGAAUUACUUCCUCACUACUCCUAGAAAACAAACAAGCUUUCUGCUGCUUGCUAGAAUUUUCUGUGCUUUAAAAAUGACUUUGAAGAUAACAUUCACAAUAGCUUCAAAAAAUGCCUAUAAAUAAGUCUAACUAAGGGGGUGAAAAGUACCUACAGUGAAAACUUUAAGAUACUGAGUAAACCAAGGAAGAUGUUAGAAGAUCUUCUAAGCUCAUGGAUAAGCAGAAUUAAUAGUGUGAAAGUAGCGACAUUAUUGAAAGUCAUCUACAGAUUCACUCUAAUCCCCAUCAAAUUCCAGUAAUGUUCUUCACAGAGCUAGAAAAAUAAUCCUAAAAUUCAUACUGAAAAACAAAAGCUCCAAAAAGCUAAAGUGAUCCUUACCAAAAAGAGGAGAAAUGCUGUUAAGUAUCACUAUGCCUUAUUCUAAAUUAUAUCACAGAGCUGUUGUAACAAAAACAGCACGGUGGUACAAAAUGGAAUUUAGAUCAAUGGAAUGGAAUAGAGGACCCAUACAUAAAUUUAAGUAGCUAAAGUGACCUGACAUUUGACAAAGUUGUCAAAAACACACAUUGGAGAAAAGGCAGCCACUUUAACUAAGAGUGCUAGGAGAACUGAAUGUCUACAUGGAGAAGAAGAAUACUAGAUUCAUAUCUCUCACCUUGCACACAAAAUAAAAAACAAGUCCUUAAGUGGAAGAUACAAAACUCUGAAACUUUUAGAAUAAAAGAUAAAAGACAAACAAACACUUUUCAAGCUAUAAGCUAAAGUGAAGACGUUCUGAACAGGUCUCUAGGCUCCCCCGAAAAGGCCAAGAAACUGAUAAGCACAAAUGAGACCUCAUGAAAUUAAAAAGCUUCUGCACAGAAAAGAAAGCAGUCAGCUGAGUGAAGAGAACCUACAAAAUGGGAUAGAAUUUUGGCUCACUAUACAUUUGAGAGAGGAUUGAUAUUAGUAAGCAUUCUUAUUUAGAGAACUCAAAAACCUAAACAAUAAUAAAUAGAAUAACUCAAUCGAUAAAUGAGCUAAUGAACUUAACAGACAGUUCUCAAAAUAUGAAGUGUAAAUGACCAAUAAACAUAGGAAAUCUUCAAUUUCACCACUUGUGAGGAUUAGUUUUGACUGUUGACUGGACAUAAUGUAGAAUCAUGGGGAGUGGGGAGGGGCGGUGCAGCAUCAGUGAGGAAUUAUUUAGAUCAGGUUGGCCUGUGGACCUGCCUGUGAGGGAUGUUUAUAGAUGGAUAUUUCCCUGUCCCAACUGCUCGGUCCCGAAUAACUAAUCCAGAGGAUUAAUAUUAGUUAUAAAUGCUCAGUCGAUAGCUCAAGUUUGUUACUAGCUAACUCUUACACUUAACUCAUUUCUAUUUAUGCUUUGCCACAUGGCCCAUGGCUUGUUACCCUCAUUUUCUACAUGUCCUGCUUAUUCAGUGACUAGCUUGUGUCUCUCCUGACUCCACCCUCCUUUUUCCCAUCAUUCUCAGUUUUGCUUUCCCACCUAACUUUUUGCCCAGCCUGUCAGCUUUUUAUUAACCAAUGAGAGUAAUACAUACUCAUAGUGUCGAAAAGAAUUGUUCCACAGCAGAUGUUCUUUGAAAUAAUUGAAGUAGGAAGAUCCACUGUGGAUGUGGGGGGCACCAUUUCAUGAGCUGGACCUUGGACCAGGUGAGAAAGGGAGAGACAGCUGAACACUAGCAUGAAUGUAUUAGUUCACUGUUUUCUGCUCUUGCUAUGGAAGUAAUGUGACUGUUUCAAGUUACUGCUGCCUAGACUUGCCCACAAUGAUGGCCUGGUAUUAUGAGCCAAAUAAAUAUAUUCUCUCUAAAGCUGAUUUCAACAAGAAUGAAAAUAAGACAUUAAAUGUCAGAGAAAUGCAAAUUAAAAUUAUAUUGAGAGUCCUUUUAACCACAGGCAGAAUGAGAAUGGUCCUAUCAAUAGUCAGCCGAGGAGGGAGGAUGGGCUCAUGGGUCCCUACCUUUGCCACUGAACUACGAGCUAUGAGUAGACUCUGAGAAAGGGGGAGUCACUGUCUUUAGUGGUAUCCCUCUCCUAAGCCUACCAUGCUCCAAUGAUAAGCCCCAAACCUACAGUCAUACAGAUGGCCCUGAUUCAUCUUGGUGGAUUCCUAAAUAAAAGGAAUAGAUAGAAAUGAAAAUAAGGAUUUGUGGAGAGAGAGGUAAGAGAGUAUACAGGGUGGUAAGGAGGUAGAGACUGAGAGUGGUCAGUAUGCAUGGUAUACAUAUGAGAAAUUAUAUUAUACAAUUAUAUCUUGUAUUAUUAUAUGAGAGAGAGAGAGAGAGAGAGAGAGAGAGAGAGAGAAUAUAAACUAGUGCAGCCACCACGAAAGUCGGUGUGGAGGUUUCUCAGACAAUAAAAAAUUAAAUCUCCCAUGUGAUCUAGCUGUAGCCCUCCUGGGUAUUUAUCCAACGAACUCUAAGUCAGCGUACUGUAGAGCUACCUGCACAUUUAUGUUUGUUGCAGGACUCUUCACAACAGCUAAAGGAUUAAACCAACAGACAUGUCUCACGACAGAGGAAUGGGUGUAAAAUAUGGUGUAUACACAAAAUGGAUUCGUUUCAACCAUGAAGGAGAAAUCAAGUUGCUUGCAUGAAAAGGAUGCAACUGUGGAUAAUCCUCUCUGAAGUUGGUCAAGCGAGUCUCAGAAAGAAUGAUGCUAUGCUUUUUGUUGCUUCUUGCUCCUAGAGUUUCUAGAGCUGCAUAAAGUCAUGUCUACAUUUAUGAGGGGAAAGUAGAAAUGAAACUGUCUAGGGGAACAAAGGGGAGAAACGGGAAUGGAGAAGGGUGGCAGGGGAGGGAGAGCAGGGGUGAUGGAGGGCCAGUAUACUUAACACACAAUAGGCAACUGUAUGAGUACUUAAAAAAUAGUUUCUUCAAGAAAACAUAAAAUUGACUUGAAAAACUAUGAACUCUGAGUUAUCACUAAAGAUAGUAAAGGCCAAUGAUGAGAAGAAAUUUGGCUCCUUCUUUUACCCUAUUCAGUCUGACUGUUCAGUUAACGAGUUAUGCUUGUUAGAAAAUUUACCUGCUUUGCCAAGUGACAAAGCUUUAUCAUCCAGGAUUAAUGGGAUUUGGGAUACAGAAAUAUUUACAAUGAAUUUUACUUAUCUGCCUUAACUACUUUCCUACUGCUGUGAUAAAACACAAUGACCAAAAAGCAACUUGUGGAGGAAAGGGUUUAUUUUAUUUUACAGCUUGUAGUCCAUCAUCCAGGGACAUCAAAGCAAGAACUCACGCAUGGCAGGGACUGAUGACAAGGCCAUGGAGGAGUGCUGUUUACUGGCUUGCUCUCCAUUCUCAGCCUGCUUUCUUAUACUAUCCUGGAUCACCAGCCCUGUGGCACCACCCACAGUGAUCUGGCCCCUCCCACAUCAAUCAUCAAUCAAGAAAAUGCACCACUAGCUUGCCCACGGGCCAAUCUAGUAGGGAAUCUUUCUCAAUUGAAGUUCUCUCUUCUCAAAUGACUCUAGCCUAUGUCAAGUUGACAUAAAACUAGCCAACAUAUUAUGCAUUUCCUCAAGUUCCCUGAGAUUUAUAGUAUGUCAUAAUUCCUUUUGACCAUAUACUUCUUACAAUGCAUGGAACACAUGUUGGUGGGUUUGUGGUGUGUGUAAUUGUGUCCUCAUGACAGUGACAGUAGUUCAGCAAGGCGGAGAUUAAGCCAAAUGUUUAUCUUCAGAAACAGAGACUUGGGGAUAAUUUUUCUAUCAAGCAAGGGACAACGAUAGACUUCACCCAGGAUCUUAUUUCAGAGUCAAUUCUCUUUCUUCAGCACAAGAAGUUGGCAAUAGGAAGACUUUUAGAGUGGGAAGGUGAGUGAUAAUUGGGGCUGUUGCUGGGAUAGUAAAGACUUGAACAUCUGAGUGAAGAAUUUGAAAAGGGUGCUCAUUCAUGAAGGCUGUACUAUGUUUCUAUAUCCUGCUUAGGGACCUCUUACCUUGUUUAUAGCAGCCCACCCCAUACUAUUCAAUGGCUGGGACCAUGGCUAAAAUUUUAGAGCAAUCCUUACAUAGAACCUGGAAAACAUGCUCCACCAUCUCUCAUACAAAUACAGACGUGUUUCCCUACCCUCUAGCCAGAAGAUCACAUGCUUUAAACCUCAAGACUAGUAUUAUAUUACUACUACACAUAUUCUUUUGCCUGUGACCAAUUGCAUAAUUCCAAGUCCAGGGGAUAAGGCUUACCCAUAUGGUUAAACCCAAAACUGAACACCAUCUUGAUGUCACACAAGCCCUCAGAGUCAUUACCCCGUACUUGCCUUCCUGGCAGCACUGAACAAACUGGUACCAGCCCCAUGUGUUUCAUAACCUCAGUUCAUACACAAGGACCCCAUCAGCUGAACUGCUCUGACUCGCAUUUGGUUCCUGAAAUCCAAAGUGACAAUUCUUUGAACCUCAGUUUCCUCAUUUGGCAUGAGGAAACAUCUCAUUAGAAUGAGAUCAUCUCUUCUUUUUGCAGAAUUGUUUUCAAGAUUAAGGAACAUUCCAUAUGGUUAUUGGUCUACUUUGCCUCUCUGUUGCUGUGAGAAAACACUGACCAAAAACAACUUGGGGGAGGAAGACAUUUUAUUUGGCUCACAGGCUACAGUCCAUCAUCAAGGAAGCCAAGACAGGAAGCAGACACCACAGAGGAACACUGCUUGUUGGUUUGCUCUACCUGGGAUGCUCAGGCAUCUUUCUUACAUAGCCAAGGCUCACCUGCCUAGAGAUGGCACUGCCCAUAGUGGGAUAGGCCCUCCUAAAACUAUUAUCAAUUAAGAAAAUGCCUCACAGGCAAAGCCACAGAUCAAAAGGAUCUCUUCAGUUCUUCAGUUGAGGUUUCUUCCCAGGUGACUCUAGGAUUGUGUCAAGUUGGCAGCUGAAGCUGUUAUCCUAUGUAAGUCACUUGUCACUCUAUCCAGCUCAUAGUAUAACUAUAAUAAAUAAUGAGCAUUGUAAUAAUGGUAGUACUAACAUGUAAUGUAUGUUAUUAUAAUCAGAAACUCUGAUGUCUUGAGAUCUGAAUUGACUAUUCUGUAGUUGAAUUUGCUUUUAAUAACAGCAGCAUGAAAAUUUAAUCAGCUAAAGAAUAUUGCAUGUCCUAUUCUAUGUUUUUUUCUCCCAAAUGAACGUUUAUUGUUAAGUACUGUGAGAGUUACAUAGAAGAAAGAGGAAGAUCUCCUUCUAUACCUGCAGGACAAUAGCCUCUCACGGUGGACACAAGACAUAUAUGUAUUAAACUAGUGAGCAUACAUCUUAAUCUGGGAGAAGUCAAAUGCAAUAAUUUGAAAAAAAAUUCAAGAUCCUCUCUUGCCAGUUGUAUGAAAUUUGGCGGUCCCUAGAGACUGUCCCUGUUGUCAUUCUCCAGCCCUGGCAUCCAGAGCCCAAGCAUUCUUAGUGGAAGCAUCAUUGGGAUGCAGCCCAUUCCAUUAGCAGAGGGAAUAGUAAUACAUAAAUGGACGAUUAUGUGAAAAUUGGUGAGGGAGAGAGGGCACAUGACAGAGGCUUGGGUGCAUCAGCUGAAGCUCAGACCCACUCACCAUUUCCCAGGGACCGCAAGUUAAGUCUCUUUGAAAUAAGUUUCCUCACCCAUCUUGCAACAUUUAUGAUUGUAUGGCCAUUUUUUGUUGUUGUUGUUCAUCACAAUCUGCUUCAUAACAAAAUAAAUGCCACCUCGCCAAAGGAAACGAGACAUUGGCAAUUCUCAUGCCUUCCCAGACCUUGUCCAGGAGCCAUCACAGUAACAACAUAAACAAAUAGAUCACCAGCCCAGCUCCCUCUCCCCUCGAUUGCCUCCUUUUCCUUUCACUCUGAAUGCUCCAGCAGAGUGCAGAGGAUUUCACAGUUCCUCCAGCUCUGGAAAAAUCAUUAAGCCCUUCUGCUGGUCGACUUUGGACACAUCUGGAACAAAUUAUCUCCACUUUUGGAAUCUGAAUAAAGAAAUAGCAAGUGGAGGCUGACAAUUUCCUUUCAAGCUUGAAUGAUGAAGAGAAAACAUCCCACGGCCUCAUCUGGCUGGCUUGCUGCGAGCUCUCAAGAAUAAGCCCUGGGGAGCACACCGCACUUCUGUUUUCUAGAAUUAAAAUCCUGUAAACUUGUAAGAUGUGCUCUGCAAUCAAACACUUCACUGAUGGAAUCAAAAGAGCCAGUGCCAGAGACUCCAACUCACAUGCAAAGUCAGCCCGAUGCCAUGCAAGGGCUCACCAACCCUGAUCUGUGACUUGAGGGGACAAAGAAGACACUCUUGUCAAAAUAACACAUCACAACCCUGGACCGCCGUGAGUGUUACAAACUUCUCCCUCAGGCAGUCAUGUUUCUGAAGGAUGAGUGAAUCCCUUUGGAUUUUUCUUUCAUGUCAUCUCAUGUGAAUGACUUUGUGUUUUAUGAUUCAUCUGAUUAUGGAACAUAAAAAUUGUUGGCUCCACCUUGAAGAAGCCAUCCUGCACAGAGGUGAAAGGGUACAGAGCUUUGAACUUGAGCCUCUUGGAAAUGCCAAGAUUCAGAUGUCAUCCAGCUCAGAGUCCCAGAGAGUGAUUUCACUACACUAAUUAUGCUGCAGUGCCAAGAAACAAGAUAAAACAUAUGAUGCUUCACAAACACUCAAAAGUCUAUACUUGUCGAAGCAAUUUAAAUAUUUUUGCCAUAAUUAUAAAACUAGAACACUAAGGUAACUUCAGUGAAUCUGCCUGAGGUAUCAUGCACAUUUAAUGAAGAGUUUGGUCACCUGACUCUUGCAUCCUACAGUAGUUCUGCCACUGGUGACUAGGGAAGUGGCCACAUCAUGAGGAAGUCUCCAUUUCCUUCAUCUCCUAUGGCACUGGAAAUGAAACCUAGGCCCUAGCACAUGCCAGGUAAAUACUCUGCCAUGAGAUAUAUCAACAGCUCUUGAUUUUAAGGACUGCCCUCCACAUUAAAUAAAUGAUGAGGAAGAAUAUCACAGGAUCAAAACCACCUUGGAAACAACAGCACUAGCUCCUGGCAUUGCUUUAAUGAGACUGCAGCAGAGGCUGAUCAUGAGAUGGAGGCAUCUCUAGCACUAGGAACUUCCAAUUCAGCAGACUUGGGCUAUUCACACUGUGUUCUACCAUAGCCAGCCUCUUAUCACAGAACAGAGACGCAUAGAUGCUGAGACAUCAGACAAGGAUGACAUUCAAGUACUUAUCUCAAUGGGCCACCCUUGGUAGUAGCAUGAAUAGCCAAUGUGAACAAUACCCCAGCCUUCUCUACAAAUCUGAUGGAGCAGGUAACUAUUGAGCAUGGCAUUCUUUGACAAUAGGACUAGUUCUCUUGUUUGAUGAGAUGAUGAUGAUUUCGGAUAAUAUGGAAGUAAAGUUAGAACUAUCGGUUGUUUCUUUACAGUUUUAUAUAGGACUUGUUUCAGAACUGAAUUAACAUAGCUAAGAUACAUGCAUGCCUCCAUCCAGCUUCUUUCAUUGUGAGUAGGUCACAUUAAUAAGGAAGACGCAGGGCAUCAUCUCACCAUAUGCUGGCAGUCACUUUACUGGACUUGAGAUAGAAUCAAAGUAAUUGCUCCAUAAAGCAAAGCAGUUAGUAAUAACCUAAACUCCAAAAGCCCUUUUAUUUUCUGAUUCAUAUCUUUAAUCAAUUUGCAACAUGAAGCAAUUGAGUUUUCCCUCUAGUUUCCCAAUUGUUUGCUCAGAAGGACUGCUCCACUGCCUUUGACUGACGUGACAUUAUUGCAUUUAUAUUGACUUUUACAGCAGAUUUUACAACAUUUGAGGUGCAUACGUUACAAGAAAAUGUAGCACGGGAACAUUUGAAGAUGAAAGUAAGCCAUAAAGAGAGUACCUAGCUACAGUGUCUGCCAUUUGCUGUAUGAGGAAAUUACAAAUGGAGACUAGCAAAUGGGGCGUGGUUCCUGGGUGUCAACUUCCAAAUACCCAAGAGUUGUCUCCAGUCUCUGUUGAGACCUGGAGCAGGAAAGAACAGUGAUGGGCUGGUUGCUUUUGGCUUUGCCAUAGCUAGGCUGUUCUGAAACAUUGCCUUAGGCAUGGAAAACCAGCAAAAGCAUUAAGUCCCUAGUUUCCAAGGUGGUGGCAAGAGGAUGCUGGAGCAGGUUUCCUGACUUGAGUAAUGGGGUGAUAUUAUUUUUGAAAACCCAUGAGUCUGUCAGCAGAGCUAGGGCUGAAAGAAGUGGCGAGGGGCUGCUCUGAGAUGAAAACCACUGCUGGCACUGCUCUUUUUGUCUUUGCCAUGCACCCCCGCCACGAGAGCCAUGACUGCAAGUGAGCUGGAACAAUUGGAAGGUGGCUUUCCACCUGUAAAGAGCCUUCCAUUUCUGCUUCCAUGUUCUGCUUUAAUUCAUAUCUCACCCUUCAAAGUUGAGCUUCCUGCCCUCACUCUGAGUAGUUUCCUAAGACAGCAUGCAAUGGACGCCAUGCCUUCGUCAAAAGUGUACCUUAUGGCUUCUGUUUUCACCUGGUUCAGUAGCCGGGCCUUCACUCAACAUCUGAGCAUUGUCGAGAUGUUGCGCUGUUUACCUUCCAGGGAUCUCAUCUGGAUUUCAGGCAUCCUAAGGGUAUUUCUGUCCUGUGCACUGCUGGCACUCCACACCUCCCCUUACCUGUAGCCUACUGCUUGUCUUCUUCCUUUAGGUUGUGAGAAGGUAAGUGAUCAAGUCUGGAGCUCACCUCCCUGUGUUUGGAUCCCACUGUUACCACUUCCUUUGAGACCAAAGGACAACUACUUAACUUUUUGGUGCCACACUUUUAACUGUGAAGUAGAUAAGAAUGAGACCUGUCACUGGAUUGUGAGUACUCACUUGAGGAUCUCAGAGCAACUCAGCAGAAUAAGGCCUACUGAAAUACAUGCUGCCAUUUGAUAUGAAUUAGCCCUGCACUCCUUCUAAGAAUGCCCUUCCCACAUUUUUAAUGAUCAAAAUACCAUCUUUUCAUAUUUAGCAAAAGUGUUUCCUCCCCAUUGAAGAAGACAGUCUACUUGCAAGCUAGAAUGAAGCUUCUUCUGGGUCCAUUCCUCCUUUCACAAGUGUUUCUUGCCUCAGAACUUGUACUUUUCUGGCCAGACAGAGCUCCCCUGAGCAUUUCCUGGCAGCACAGGUCACAACCAAGGCAUAAGAGGAAAAAUGAAAAUAUUUUCUGUUGCUUUCAAAAGUAUAAUUCCACUUGGAUCUCAUCACCUUCCUAUCUCAACUCCCUGAGCAUUGGAAUACAGGACUAUAGUCUUCAGAAAAGCACGUCCUUCAGUGGCUGACACGAGCUACCCAGAGUCUGUGGACUAUUCUGAGACAAGGCCCAGAAUUUGACUCCACCCCUCACGUCUACUAGGACAGUGAUCCUCUCCACUACAGUAUAAAGGCAUCUGUCACUUGUGCAGAUGAAAGCACAAGGUUUUCUCCUCUGUCUCCAUGGAGGUUCGGUUCCCUACUGUUCUCUCCACAUCAUGUUGUCAUUUCCUACUCUAAUGAUGAACCUACAUGACUCAGAGCACUUAGUAAGAGUAGGGAUCCGACACAUAAAUCUUCCUCCUACCCUUCUGUGCCUCAGAACUGCCUGGGCACCCUCUCUUGUACUGAGAAGUGUCUGUAACAGUUUUCUUGGUGGAAAUAACAGGGACUGACUCAUGUUAAGUGCUUGCUCUAUUUUCUGAAUAAAAGCUAAUAGAUUCCAGAACAGGUCCAGCCAGGUGUCUUCUCUAUAAGGCUGUGCCCUUUGAAGCAUUCCAUCUUCUACAGGAUCAUUACAUACUUAACACGAGAAAGACUGAAAAGAUUUCUAACCCCCCUGAAUAGGUUCAGUAUUGAUGGAAUUUUAGACUCAGUGCAAGCCGUGAAGCCUUGAAUGGUAUGUCUUUGAAUUGCACCCACUCAAUCUAUUUUUUUUCUCAUCAAGGGCUCAUAAGCACCAUAACAGCAAUGACCUUUUCCCUACUUCUGUGUUUAACCCCCAGCGGUCUUCAUUAUAUUGCUCUGUUCAACAAAUGUGGAUGUCCAGUUCUUUCGGCUCCUUCCAUCCCCAGACAAUUUAUGGUUGACUCUAAUAAAAUGUUUUGCAACUUA